Molecule: ribosomal RNA, 253 nt
Filed under: uncultured bacterium
Lineage: Bacteria
Description: partial 16S ribosomal RNA
Rfam family: Bacterial small subunit ribosomal RNA
Source: RNAcentral
UACGUAGGGCGCAAGCGUUAUCCGGAAUUACUGGGCGUAAAGCGUGCGUAGACGGUUAUUUAAGUCAGGUGUGAAAGCCCCGGGCUCAACCUGGGAAUUGCAUUUGAGACUGAAUAGCUAGAGUGCGGAAGAGGGAAGCGGAAUUUCCGGUGUAGCGGUGAAAUGCGUAGAUAUCGGAAGGAACACCAGUGGCGAAAGCGGCUUCCUGGUCCAGCACCGACGUUCAGGCACGAAAGCGUGGGGAGCAAACAGG